CCCCUAGAUGUUCUGGGCCGCACGCGCGCUACACUGAACAGUUCAACAAGUCUUAACCUUGGCCGAUAGGUCUGGGUAAUCUUUGAACGCUGUUCGUGAUUGGGAUAGACCUUUGCAAUUAUGGGUCUUCAACGAGGAAUUCCUAGUAAACGCAAGUCAUCAGCUUGCAUUGAUUACGUCCCUGCCCUUUGUACACACCGCCCGUCGCACCUACCGAUUGGGUGCUCCGGUGAAUUGUUUGGACUGCUGUCAGUCUUUUCGGCUGUCGGCGAGAAGCUCUGUGAACCUUAGCACCUAGAGGAAGGAGAAGUCGUAACA
This 318-nucleotide ribosomal RNA is filed under the name uncultured eukaryote. RNAcentral's name for it is "partial 18S ribosomal RNA". It matches the Rfam family "Eukaryotic small subunit ribosomal RNA", at positions 1470 to 1796 of the family's 1831-position model. The record is from RNAcentral.